Pocillopora verrucosa is the source of this 493-nucleotide long non-coding RNA. RefSeq lists it as uncharacterized. The record is from RefSeq and is a predicted model, not a curated record. NCBI's taxonomy places the organism in Eukaryota, Metazoa, Cnidaria, Anthozoa, Scleractinia, Pocilloporidae.
AUUGGGUCACGCUUGAAGAAAGUCUAAUUCUGAGAAGAUUCUGAUCCGUUGGAAUUUCCACUGAAUUUUUAUUUAUUUGUUUUUCUAUCUAGCCCUUUUGUGUUCUUUUUAUUGUUACAUUUAUCUUCGGUUUCACCGUUUUCAAGCUGAAUUAUGGAUGUCAAGUUCCAUUUACUUCUGUUGCUGUUUUUGUUGGCCGGGACCUUACCCGUGAUAGGAACUCCCACAGUGACAGAAUGUAAAGACAUUCCAAUGGCGACUUGUUAUUCCAACCAGACACCUUGCCCUCCUGGAUGGCGCCAAUGUCCGUAUCCCUGCUCCCCUUUAUCCAUGACAUGCUGUUGUGACAUGACAUGAUAGGUCUUUUAUCCGCAUUGGAUGGCAGCAAGAAAAUGUCUCCAGGAACUAGAAAAUUGAGGUUUCAGAUGAUGAAAAUGAGUAGAUGCGGACUUCCCUGUUUUGAUUAACACAUAGCUGUGGUAAAAAUAAAGGG